Molecule: ribosomal RNA, 481 nt
Filed under: uncultured bacterium
Lineage: Bacteria
Description: bacterial SSU rRNA
Rfam family: Bacterial small subunit ribosomal RNA
Source: RNAcentral
GGCUCAGGACGAACGCUGGCGGCACGCUUAACACAUGCAAGUCGAACGGAGAAUAUUUGGUUACUAAGUAUUCUUAGUGGCGGACGGGUGAGUAACACGUGAGCAACCUACCUUUGAGAGAGGGAUAGCUUCUGGAAACGGAUGGUAAUACCUCAUGACAUAUACUUAAGGCAUCUUAGGUAUAUCAAAGAUUUAUCACUCAGAGAUGGGCUCGCGUCUGAUUAGCUAGAUGGUGAGGUAACGGCUCACCAUGGCGACGAUCAGUAGCCGGACUGAGAGGUUGAACGGCCACAUUGGGACUGAGACACGGCCCAGACUCCUACGGGAGGCAGCAGUGGGGAAUAUUGCACAAUGGGGGAAACCCUGAUGCAGCGAUGCCGCGUGGAGGAAGAAGGUUUUCGGAUUGUAAACUCCUGUCUUAAAGGACGAUAAUGACGGUACUUUAGGAGGAAGCUCCGGCUAACUACGUGCCAGCCGCGGC